RNAcentral lists this long non-coding RNA (391 nucleotides) under Homo sapiens (human). Its description in RNAcentral is "non-protein coding lnc-FBXW8-2:2". The record is from RNAcentral. Lineage: Eukaryota; Metazoa; Chordata; Mammalia; Primates; Hominidae.
CAGUAAUUCUCAAAUUUUUUAUUGGCAUAAAUAAUUCAGACAUUGGUUUCUCACUAAACAUUGCACUAAACACAAGAAACAACAGGCUUGCUGGCUCAGAGGCACACAAACUGUCCAACAGCCCAAGUUAGAAAUACUUUUUUUAGAAGUGUAGAAAACUUUAUAAAUGAUUCUGUACAAAUAUACACAGUGGACCCUCCAUCCAUCUGGCCUUUCUUUCCUGGAUGGCAUCUGAAUAGAGUGUUCCUUCUCAGCAACAAGACAUUGGCAACAAGUGAGAAAGAGAGAGACAGAGACGGAGACAGACAGAGAUAGAAACGGAAAGGAAAAGAAAGAAGUGGCCCCCCAAAAGAAAACAUGAAACCACCUUCUUACAUCAACUCACUCUGCA